UACGUAGGUGGCAAGCGUUACUCGGAAUCACUAGGCGUAAAGCGCAGGUAGGCGGUUCGGUAAGUCUCUUGUGAAAGCUCCCGGCUCAACUGGGAGAGGUCAAGGGAAACUACCGGGCUAGAGUGUGGCAGAGGAAGCUGGAAUUCCCGGUGUAGCGGUGAAAUGCGUAGAGAUCGGGAGGAACACCUGUGGCGAAGGCGGCCACCUGGUUGGAUACUGACGCUGAGACGCGAAAGCGUGGGGAGCAAACAGG
This 253-nucleotide ribosomal RNA is filed under the name uncultured bacterium. Its description in RNAcentral is "partial 16S ribosomal RNA". It matches the Rfam family "Bacterial small subunit ribosomal RNA", at positions 524 to 776 of the family's 1533-position model. The record is from RNAcentral.